ACCAGGGUGGCUCAGUUGGUUGGGCGUCUGACUUCGGCUCAGGUCAUGAUUUCACGGUUUGUGAGUUCGAGUCCCACUUCAGGCU
RNAcentral lists this transfer RNA (85 nucleotides) under Felis catus (domestic cat). It matches the Rfam family "tRNA". From Rfam's summary of the family: Transfer RNA (tRNA) molecules are approximately 80 nucleotides in length. Their secondary structure includes four short double-helical elements and three loops (D, anti-codon, and T loops). The record is from Rfam by way of RNAcentral. Lineage: Eukaryota; Metazoa; Chordata; Mammalia; Carnivora; Felidae.